CUUCUGCAUAAUGUUUCUGUUUAAUGGGUUUUUUUGUGCUUUUGCACAUAAAAUAGCUCAGAGACCUACAGAAUUUCAAAGUUUAAUCCCUACUUAAAUGAUUUAGACCCAGCCUGGAUGUCCACUCAGAGUCUUGAAAGAGAAUGUGUUUGGAAGGUCUCAUGAUCCAGCCACCUGAGAAGGAACACAGGCUCUCCUACAGCAUCAGUCCUUACAGGAGCCCUCUCUACAGCUGGGAAUAGAAAGUGAAUCCUACACUUGACUGCAUUUUGCUGCAGAGAGGGAUUUGGAUUUUAUUGUACAGAUUAUUUUGAUUAACAUGGGUGAUCCUGGAGACCUCUCUGGCCCACAGGAGGGAAGAUCACUCCAGUUUUGUGAGAAAUGCUGAUCUUGGCCCAGUUGGAGGAGCAGGGCAGAGGAAGCCAGAGGUUAAAUGUCAUGAGCCACACUACAGAAGAUGAUUAUACUGGCAAAUAUUCCAAGAGUGGACCUUGCCUGAGAUGAAGUGACAAUAAAAUCUCACUGCAAGGGAAGAAAACUCCAACAGGAGAAGGAGGUUUCUCAGUUCAGCUCCUGCUCUAGGUCCAGCCACUAAUCCUUCUGGAUUUGUCUGCAAGUUCUGCUGCAAAACACCAUUCCAGUGAAAUUCAGCCCUGCAGCAUCCAGCUUCAAGUGGUGUUCCCACAUAUGAGAUGCAGCUUUAGUGUGAUGGAGGCAACACAUCUGUGCUGUGAUCCCUGCUCCUUCCUGGCCUAAACUGCUGCAGGACUUUGGUAUGAGGGCCCACUCCAAAAAUGUCCCAUUAUAAAUAGGUGUAUGAAUGCAUAGUGAACCCUUAGCUGGUAUUUAGUUUCUUUUCUUUACUAUAAAAGAGCCUGCAAAUGUGCAGCAUACUUCUAAAGUCCUAAGAUUUCUGUUAAAUAUUAAUUUGCCAGCAGGUUCUGCAUCUAUGCUCCAGGUAAGGACUUGUACAUCUGACAUUACAGUUUUAACUGGUGCUUGUUUCAAGUCACUCAGAGAUGGUGGAUUUUCCUCUGUCUUCAGUUUACUUUACCACAUGAAAAACAGUGAAAUUUUGGCCAGUGCUAAAGAACAGACAUAUUUUUUUUUCAGGGUCUCCAAGGUUGCCUCUUGGGAGAAUCCUUGUUGCUGGUGAUGACAAAAUUAUAUUACACAGUUAGUCUUAAAAAUUAGGGGAAUAUGUCCACUGUCAGCUCAGAGCUGGCCUUGCUUCAGGCCCUGCCAGGGUAAGAGCUAUGGAUGUGAAAUCAUUAGUAGCAAAAUUUAUAAGGAUGAAAAUGAUCUAUUACGAUUUUUUUAUGGUUGGUCCAUUUGUUAGUGCCAAGAGUUGUUCAGGCUGGGGCUGGUUCAUGGUCUCCCUGCCAGGCUGCUGCUCUGUGCUGGUGUCAGUCUGGUUGCUGCUCUGUGCAUACAGCUCUGGACAUGGCAUUUACUGCACUCUUGUUUUUUCUUCACCCUGAAGUACAUGGGGGGCACCUUGUGUUCACACCUUCCUCUGCCUGGGGUGUGUCUGGGUUUCAGGUCCUUACAAGCUGGAAUGUACCUGAGGUGCACAUCUAGAGCUGAGGAAGAGGAUUGUGUUCUUGGUUUGCAGAAGAGAUGUCCCUGCUCCUGUCUUCUAUUCUUCAUGUCUUUGACUCUUUUUCUUCUUUGGACUCCCUUCCUCUGGUAUCAGCACUUCUAAAAGCCUGAGAUGAUCUUGUUUUUCUCUACACUAUCCUUGUGAGUUCCUUCUAACUCAGAAAAUUGUGUGAUUCUGUAUCAUUGUUUGGUUUGUUGUCCUUUAGUUCCUGUGCUAGCAUCCUGCCAGCCCGUUAUAACUUGGAAAACUUACAGGUGAAAGUCCACAGUAAAAUAUCAAAGUAGCUUAUGUUAAGUUUCUUCUCUGAAAAGCAUUUCCUCCCCACUUUGUUUUGAAAUAUUGUAUUUUGAAUACUUUUCAUGGAGGAAACUUAACAUGAGCUGUUUAAUGGCCAUGCAGCCCCUAAAUGUUCCCAGGACUAACAGAAUGGUUUCAGGACUGCUCUUUUUCCAGGAGAGGAUCCAGUACUCAAAUCCUAAUUUGAGGGCUGAUAUCUAAAACAGGAACACUGGCAUCUCUCAGUUUGCUGAUAUUAGUGUUUUCAGGGAUUUCCUGGCAGCACCCAGUCUUUACCCAGAUGUGUGGAGCAACCAGACGUGUGAAUAUUUAUUUGAAGCACUCCCUUCUGGUGCAUUAUUCUGUCACUGCCUUUUAUUGCUGUUGCUUCUCUGACUUUUUUUUUUUUUUCUUAUCCCUGCCUGUUUCUCUUCUGUUUUUCAUCGGCUUCUCUUUAAAUUUCCCCUUCUCAAAGGGUUUCACUGAUCACCCACACCCUUUCCCCCCAGUGUUCAGCCCCCAGAUGGCUGGUGCUGACACAGUGUUAUAACUAAACCUGGUUGUGCUAAAACCAAAUAAGCAAAAUUAAAUGCACAUUAGCUCACCAUUACAGGAUGCCUCUGGACUACAGUUAACAACUUCAAAUCCAUUAGUGCUCAGCCAGCAGUAAAACACUCUUCAUCAUAUCCCUGAGAGUUGGAAAUGCACAUGAAAAACCAUGUGGUUAAGGCUCCUGAUGAGCCAAAUGCCUCCUCCAAGCCUUGUAAAUAUGUAAAGUUGUCAGGUACUCCAUGCUCAUAAUUUGUUGUGGAUGUGAACUACCAGUUUUUCUUAUGUAACUUUAUUUCAAAGUCAGGAAAGAGGAUGGGAAGAAUGGGAAAAACACUGACUGAAGGAUGAUUUGUGCUAACCCUGAUGACAUUUCUCAGCUAUUAAGCUGCUUGCUUUUACCAGCUGUACUGCCAUAGCUAAACACCUUGGGGCUGUGGUGGUUGUUGUGUGGUAUCUGCUGAGUUUUGGGGUGCCCUGGCGACCCAGCUGAACAAUUUCAGCACUUACAAAGGAUCUGCCAUCACUUGAGGUGGGACUUGCACAGCACACACAGAAACCAGGAGAUAAAUGGUAAUGUGGGCUCACCUGGGAGCUACACUUGACCCAACGUUUCAUCCAGCUCUGUAUAAUGAACUUGAGAGAGUCCUGCUUGAUAGCACUUAUUAGGAACUGGGAAUUAAAACUGAUAUUGCUAAGCAGCAAAUACAGUUGCAACAGAGAGGAUUAAAGGAACAGGCACAGUUCAGAACUGAAAUAAUCUCAUUAUUUCCGAUUCCAGUUAUGCCCAAUGCAUGAACUAAAUGUUCAGCAGCACCUGGUGUGUCUGCUACCCACUGAGCUCCCAGCAGCAACAGUUUCAUUCAUUCUCAUUUCAGAGAUUGUUUUUAAAGGAGAUCCUAAACUCUAUGGUGAAGCUGCCUUUCCUGUAACUCCAGGGACAGAAGAAAACCCCCAAAGUAUCAAAUAUUUCUCAUGAUGCCCAUGGCUGGUGAAACACUGAUUUCUAGCAGAACAUUAAAAACCACAAAACCAAAACUCAAACAUUUGUGAAUAGGUACUAAUCAAAACCCAGAGACAGCAAAUUAAUGAUAUUCUUGAUAAAGAUUCAAUUGAAAAAUACUGAGAAGAUACUGCAUCUUCCUGGAAGCUGUAUUGGUACAGAAAUGGUAAUCAAGUCUUCAGGGUUUUGCAUUUCUGUUGGGGUGCAUUUCUGUUUGGGAAUUAUGCAAUUCAACUUUAAAAAACCCAUAUGCACAUGAACUAGUUUUGGGUGUUCUGUGUUUUGCACUAGAGGUUUUUUUCAACUGUACAUUCAAUGUUUUGAAUGUACAUACACUUGUACUUUGUGGGGUACUUUCCAAAGGUGAUAUAAAGGACCCAGUAUAAAAAGAAUAAAAUAUUUUAUUAUGUGGGCAAUUAAAAAAGUGAUUAUGUAAAUGUUGAUUUUAGAGAUUUACAUGUGAUUAAGCAGGGUUUUAAAUGUCCUGCAGAAGAGCAUUGUUUCAUUUAAUCAUAACUUUUUAAAAUGAAAUUGUGGGGU
Long non-coding RNA from Oenanthe melanoleuca, 3971 nucleotides. RefSeq lists it as uncharacterized. The record is from RefSeq and is a predicted model, not a curated record. The transcript has 5 exons. NCBI's taxonomy places the organism in Eukaryota, Metazoa, Chordata, Aves, Passeriformes, Muscicapidae.